This 348-nucleotide ribosomal RNA is filed under the name uncultured Bacillota bacterium. Its description in RNAcentral is "bacterial SSU rRNA". It matches the Rfam family "Bacterial small subunit ribosomal RNA", at positions 28 to 351 of the family's 1533-position model. The record is from RNAcentral. Lineage: Bacteria; Bacillati; Bacillota.
GACGAACGCUGGCGGCGUGCCUAAUACAUGCAAGUCGAGCGAAGUCGCCCCGCUGAAGUCUUCGGACGGACGCGGGAUGAACUUAGCGGCGGACGGGUGAGUAACACGUAGGCAACCUGCCCGUAAGACGGGGAUAACUGGCGGAAACGUUAGCUAAUACCGGAUAGGCCUCUUAGGCGCCUGCUUAGGAGGGGAAAGACGGAGCAAUCUGUCGCUUACGGAUGGGCCUGCGGCGCAUUAGCUAGUUGGUGAGGUAAGGGCUCACCAAGGCGACGAUGCGUAGCCGACCUGAGAGGGUGAUCGGCCACACUGGGACUGAGACACGGCCCAGACUCCUACGGGUGGCUG